RNAcentral lists this non-coding RNA (98 nucleotides) under Intestinibacter bartlettii. RNAcentral's name for it is "Clostridium bartlettii Guanine sequence". It matches the Rfam family "Purine riboswitch aptamer". Rfam says of the family: Riboswitches are metabolite binding domains within certain messenger RNAs that serve as precision sensors for their corresponding targets. Allosteric rearrangement of mRNA structure is mediated by ligand binding, and this results in modulation of gene expression. A class of riboswitches that selectively recognises guanine and becomes saturated at concentrations as low as 5 nM. The record is from RNAcentral. RNAcentral also lists the same sequence under 1 other name. Lineage: Bacteria; Bacillati; Bacillota; Clostridia; Peptostreptococcales; Peptostreptococcaceae.
AAUAUUAUAAUACAGAUUACAUAUAUAGAUCCAUAAUAAGGAUGGACGUUUCUACUAGCUGCCGUAAAUAGCAAACUAUACGUAAUUCAUAGGAAUUA